UACGGGAGGCAGCAGUGGGGAAUAUUGCACAAUGGGCGCAAGCCUGAUGCAGCCAUGCCGCGUGUAUGAAGAAGGCCUUCGGGUUGUAAAGUACUUUCAGUCGUGAGGAAGGUGUUAAGGUUAAUAACCUUAGCAAUUGACGUUAGCGACAGAAGAAGCACCGGCUAACUCCGUGCCAGCAGCCGCGGUAAUACGGAGGGUGCGAGCGUUAAUCGGAAUUACUGGGCGUAAAGGGCACGCAGGCGGUUAAUUAAGUUGGAUGUGAAAUCCCCGGGCUUAACCUGGGAAUGGCAUUCAAGACUGGUUAGCUAGAGUCUUGUAGAGGGGGUAGAAUUCCAUGUGUAGCGGUGAAAUGCGUAGAGAUGUGGAGGAAUACCGGUGGCGAAGGCGGCCCCUGGCAAAGACUGACGCUCAUGUGCGAAAGCGUGGGGAGCAAACGAGAAUUAGAUACC
RNAcentral lists this ribosomal RNA (452 nucleotides) under uncultured bacterium. RNAcentral describes it as "bacterial SSU rRNA". It matches the Rfam family "Bacterial small subunit ribosomal RNA", at positions 340 to 786 of the family's 1533-position model. The record is from RNAcentral.